Molecule: non-coding RNA, 248 nt
Organism: Pelobates cultripes (western spadefoot toad)
Lineage: Eukaryota; Metazoa; Chordata; Amphibia; Anura; Pelobatidae
Source: the annotation of a GenBank genome assembly
UAUAGGUUUUACUACCUGAUGGCGCCAUUUUGUUAUUCGGUUACGAUUACACUACUGACAUAAUAGGCCUCUGCGUAGGCAAACGCAGGCUUAUAACUGAGCACGAUAAGUUUAUAUUUUACGAAACGCACGCAACGAAAUAGAAGACAGUUUAUUAUUAUGCACAUGAUCUGAUAUACACGCCUCUGCGCAGGUGAAUAUCUGCAUAUAUUUCCAUGUACCGAUAUACACGCCUCUGCGUAGGCGAC